Molecule: non-coding RNA, 6343 nt
Organism: Podarcis lilfordi (Lilford's wall lizard)
Lineage: Eukaryota; Metazoa; Chordata; Lepidosauria; Squamata; Lacertidae
Source: the annotation of a GenBank genome assembly
GAAAAGAGCAUUGACACAUAUCCCCCACCCAAAGUGUAUAAGACAGUUCCACUAAACAUGGACAUGGAAAUACAUAACACCUGAAAGCAGCAUUUUGUUGACAGUGAAUGCUAAGCAACUUUGUAGCCAGAGUUUCUUUUUGUGCUUUCAGAUAAACUGUGCUGUGUCUUCCAGGUAAACUGCAGCUUCCAACAGGUGCAUUCCAGCAUGAUGGAGUCAGUUCUGCUCCCAUGGGCGUCACUCCAUCUUGUGAAGCAAUGCUUCACUUCAAAAUUCCCCUGCAUAGGAUCUGACACAGGGAUCUUGGAACCAGCAUGAGAAGGAGGCUUCCCUCAUGCCAUGAAUGCAGUUGCUGCCAUGGAGCUUUCACCCAGGUCUCUUCUUCAUGUGAAUGCUGUGUUGCAUAGCAGCCUUGAUCCCUUGCAUUCCAAAGACUUCUCUGCAGUCUGUCUCCUACAGCAUCCUAUGGCCUUUUGGGGGCUGUAGGAGUAGUAAAAGCUGCCAGCAAGCUGUGCUGGUUAUAAUUUAUGCUAAUAGGCAAAUUUAGAGCUUUCCUAGGAAUUGCUUCACAGCUAGCCAUCUGAUUAUCAUUCUGGACUUAUGUUGUGGCAUUUUCAAAACAUGUUCCAAACUUGGAGCCAGGUAGCAUUAUGCUGACCAUUCCACGGCAAAUGGCAUGGUUUGCAAGCGCAGGCCAAUGGCCGAAAAUCAAGUAAAAUUUAACAUGUAAUCAAAGCAAUAUGAGAACUGUUUGCAGUGCAGUGCCACUUCUUGUUAAAUCUGCCUCAAGGGUCAUUGUGAGACUUAACUACUGUUUGUAAAGCACUUUGCAAUCCCCCUGCGGAAGGUAAUACAGAAAGACAGUGAAAAGCGUCUGCACACACAAAAGUACUACAUAUAGAGAAAUAAUGAAGUGUUUCUCAUUUAACUUCUGUUUGCUUUUUUCCUUUGUGUGAGCCUCUCUGAGGAACUCAUAAGUUACAUUCCUUUUCAUGUCAUUUUCUGUUAUCUUCUGUGUAUUAAAAUAGUGUCUAUGUGCUCUUGUAUAUAACCCCAGCUGCUAAUGUGGUUCAUAAUAUCAUCAAGUUGAACUGAUGGUUCAUAAUGUGAGGUGUCUGUCUAUAACCCAGUCAGCAUAUUUUACUAAAUUCUCAAGAAUUCACAUGGAAAAGCAUGGAAAUCUAGAAGCUUAAAUUUGUGAAAACCUUGGUUUUUAAAAUCUCUAAUAGAUGCAGAGGGGAUUUGAGCGCAUGGCUUCAGUAUAAAGAAGCAAUAAAAACGUUCAAUGAAACAUUUUAGUGUCCCAGUCAUUUAUUGUGCCUUGAGUUUUCAUAAGCAUUGGGAUACUGAAAAGAUGAUGCAUGCUAGAGGCAUUGUUAGGUACUUAAAGGACUUGGGCCACAGCACUAUGAUGCAAACUUGCACAAAAUGUAUGUACAGUAGUACCUCAGGUUACAUACGCUUCAGGUUACAGACUCCGCUAACCCAGAAAUAGUACCUCGGAUUAAGAACUUUGCUUCAGGAUGAGAACAGAAAUCACGUGGCGGCGGUGUGGCAGCAGUGGGAGGCCCCAUUAGCUAAACACACACAGAAAAUGGUGCCUAGACAUUCCGUUGUGGCGAUCACAACCUAGGUUUAAGGUUCAAUUUGGUGAAUAGCUUACAUACCUGAGCUUCUCCAGGUAGGGCUGGGAGAGAAUCCUCUCUUGAAACCCGGAGAGCUGCUGCCAGUCAGAAGUAGCUGGGUCAAUGGUCUGACUCAGUAUAAAACAGUUUCCUGCCAUCUGCCUAACCCAACUCCCAUGGUUCUUUUGCAUUUGCUCUUACUGGGAUACAAGAUGCUACCCUCCUAAGGCUGGCAGGCAAUAUAGGUUCUUCUUCUGAUGUGGCUACUGCCCACUUUGGUAGGCCUUCUUUUCCCCUCAAGACCUUGCAGAAGUUUGAAAGCAGACAAUAUUUCUUAACUAAACAGGCAGGCACCCAAAAAUGUAAUCCUGCAUCAGAGAAUUUACAAACCAGUCAAAACAACAUAAUCCACCCCGUUUAACAUGUGUGAAGGAACACAGACUUUUGGACAGCACAUGCAAGAACAGUGAUACUGAUGAACCAAGCAGUGCCUUUCAUUCAUUUGCCAUCAAAGAUAGAGGGGAGGUUCUUGUAUAUUAUAGUGAGGCAAUGAUCUUUGACCCACUGACUCGAAUGCCUGCAAUUUCAUCCCAAGUACCUGAGGAAAUUUGGGGUUACGUUGGUUCCCACCCACCCCUUCCGCUUCUGCACUUUCAGUUCCCAGGCACAAUAUAUGCCUAGAUAAAUCCUGUAAUGGCAGUGUCCAUAAGCACAGGUGUUGACUCUGCUUUUUCCAAGCAAAAUUAGAAGUGCUGAUGCCUCAUAGGCGAAAGGUUGCUCUGUAGAGAUCAGCAGCAGCAGCUCGCUUUGCAUAGAUGUUUCAGAUCAAACACCUUUUGAGGUUUUCCCCUUCAUUACUGCUUCUUAUCUCCUCAUUCUCAGGGGCAGAGGGAUUUGAAUAUGAGCAAGUUCCCACUAGUUUCUCAGGGGUAUGAGUUCAUUAGAGUGUGGAAUACAUACGCUAGACUUAAUAGUGGAGUGAGAGAAUGGGAUGAAGUGCAUUGGGGGGGGGCGGGGGAGGAAACAGUGGGAUCUUUUGCUGUUACUGGCUCUGUCCACAGCACUCCAAUCUUGGAAAACAGAUAAUUUUGCUCUCCUCUGGAACUUCCACUGAUGCCAAACUCAAGAGAGCUGCCAGCCUCUCUGAGAUUACCACCAGUCCAACGAUACAGAUUUGCUGGUGUACACUCCGCUCAAACUCUCCUUCUUCAAUGAAAGUCCUCUAUUUAAAUUAUACAAAGGUUAUUUGCUUGGAGGUCGUGUUUAUUCAUUUGUUUGUUCUACAGCUACUACAGAGUUUUUCCAUGAAGGGGAAUAACAAUCCAAAUUAAUGAGAUGGUUGGAGUAGAUGCAACUUUCGUUGGCUCUCUCUUUGCAAUCUGAAUGAAUGUUCAUUUGUUUUAUUUACUUACUUAGAUACUUCUAUAGUACCCUUCACCAUAUGGGCACAGAGUGAUGUACAGUCGUACAUUGGAAGUCAAACAGAACCCGUUCUGGAAGUCCAUUCGACUUCCAAAAUGUUCGAAAACCAAAGUGCGGUUUCUGAUUGGCUGCAGGAAGCUCCUGCAACCAAUUGGAAGCUGCAGAAGCCCCGUCGGAUGUUCAGCUUCCAAAAGAACAUUCGAAAACCAGAAUACUCACUUCCUGGUUUCAAUCAUUUCGGAGACGAUUUAUUUGGGAGCCAAGGCGUUCAAGAUCCAAGGUAUGACUGUACUACAUAUUAAAGUGCAUCAAUACAUAUUGUAAAACCAAGUCAAUCAAUACAUAGUGAACACAACACUAAUGAAAACAACAGCAACAGAAUAAUGGGUACAGUACAAAACUGACCUCAAACAAAUCAUACCUUCUCACCUCCAAAAGUGAAUGAGGUGAGUUUUUACCUAACCCAUAAAAGAUUCUAACAUAGAGGAGAGAUGUACCUCAGUGGGUUGAUUGCUCUGCCCCCAGCUAUAUUAUUUCUCAUUUUCCUUAGAAUGAUUAACAAACAAACAAAUACUUGACUCACUUCAAACUAACAGUGCAAUCCGACACAUGCCUAUGCAGCAGUAAGUCCAAUUGAAUGGGACUUAAGAAACGUUCUGAUGCAACUUGUCCACCAUUCAGGCCAAGGCUGUGGGCAAAUGACUGUGUUGUUAUGGACACUGCCAAUACAGGUUUCAUCUUGGCCAGUACUGCUGGUAAAAUUGAGUUGGGGAGAGACCAAGCUAACUCUGCACUUCCUCAAAUGCUUGGGGUGAAAUCGCAAACAAUGGAAGCAGUGGGUCAAACCUGGGUCUGAUAGAUGGGCUUUCUCCAAGUCUUAAAUUGGAUGUCUUUACAUUAUUUUUAGAGGGUUGGAUAUGCGUCAGGGGAAAGCGUUGUGGGAUUGUGGUCCAUAUCAGAAAGGGAUAUGUUCCACUUAACCCCUUUAACUUUAUGCCCUUUGGUAGGUGGGUUUGGGGAGAUAUUAGUACUUAGUCUUCCAAAACUCCUAAAACCAUUUAUAGUGUUCAAAUGUCAGAGUGGAGAGAGACUGCCUCGGUUUAAUGUAUUUAUUUGGCUACUUUUAACUUCCUUUGGUAUAAGGCCAGCAGGAAUCAAAUAUAAUAGUUGUAAAUAGUCUGACAGCUAAGGAUAGAUAGAUUCACAGCACUGUGAAUCUCAAAACUGUGUAAAUGUAAGUAUAGUGGCUGUCCUACCAAACACUAUCAAUCUUUGCCUAUGGACCACAGGAAAGGAGUCCCAGGUUCUGGUUUUUUUUUGGGGGGGGUGUUAAGAGAGAAAUACAUUCCUGCACACACAUUCCUUCAACAUAUUAUUCAUUGGCUAUUCUUGCUGAGAUGUUCUUUGGGGCUAUGCAAGCCCUGAAGCUUAGUAUAAUAAAAAAGAAUCAAAGGCAAUAUUUCUGUUCCUGCAAAUACUACACAGAGGAUGGCUCAACAUUUAGCGGAGCUGACCCUAUUAGAGCAGCCAAAGUGCUGCCAAACGUGCCUCUGUGAUCAUCCUUUUUGAAAGGAUAUAAAAUUAUUCAUCUUUUUUCAGGGAGAAUAAAUGAUCUCUGAGCCAAUCCACGUAGAGCAGAAAUAUGCUAGAAAGGGGAAUCAGCUUUAUAUAAAUGCUGCCCGUUCCUUUUAAAAAUAAUGGAGGGAAAGGGAAUGAGGGGUUAGUUUUACACACACACACACACUGCACCCCAUUCCUUUUCUUUUCGUUACAUAUUUACCAUCAAAGCAGAAUGUUUACAUUUUGGAGAUUUGUUGCUGUUGUCAAAAUCUAGUUUUUAUAAUGUCAUAAACUAGCUUUCUUUCUUUCUUUCUUUCUUUCUUUCUUUCUUUCUUUCUUUCUUUCUUUCUUGUCCAAUCACCAAGUCAUUUUGUGAAGAGUGCCAUAAUCUGGGGGCCAUCUUGAGAUGCAAUCCUGUUCCCUGUCUUGUGAUCUGCAUGUCAAGGUGAAACUGCAAGAAUAUGAUAAUGUUGCUAUCCCCAGAAGGCGGGCGGUAAAAGAUACUAAUUGCAUUUCACUGAAGGCUUCAGAAACAGUCAGCAGCUGGAAAGCUGAGAAGAAUUUUGAUGCUAUUCCUAUAAAGGAAGAUCCAUCUCCUCCCUCCAACACACCUUAUUCUGUUUGUAAAUCUAUUAUAGAACAUGGGAAAUGAAGAGGGGGGAGAGAAAGCAUAAAACCAGCUAAAGACUUUAUGAUUUCCAUUAUAUUUUGUGAGCUGUAGGUGGUCAGGAGAUUAUACAGAAAUAUCCCCUUGUUAUCAGCAAUAAUAAUUCAGUGGUUUUAUUUAUCACCAUUUUCUUUGCACAAAUAUCAUAGCACCCCUAUACUGGGGCACCAUACAGAAAAUGAAAUAUAUAUGCAGUAAACUUCCAGAAUAAAAGAGCAAAGAGGGACUAGGAGUGCUUGCAUGGAAUUGCUACACUUUGUUCACUCACUUUUUACAGGGCAUCCACAUGAUGUGGUCGUCCAGUCAUUGCUGUCCUGUUUUUCCUGUGGGUUUUCCCCAUUAGAAUGUGGUAAGCAUGACUUCUUUCAGCAGAAUGGAAGGCUAGCGCAGUCUCCAUAGGUGUAGAUGCUUCUCUUAGUGUUUUGUAAAGGGGGAGGUUUUGACAUGGGCACUGUAUGCAUGGGGAGCAUAGAAUCCAACUCCUGGGGGCUGAGGUCCCUUUAGCUUGCCCAAUGAAAUAUUUGAGGGGGCCAAGCCAGCGCCCUCCAAAGUUAAUGGGCAUUGCCAUUUAAAUGGAGUGCAUGUGACAUGCCUUGUGAUCAAUUAUGUUGGGUUGGGGCUUACCUGGGCCCCCCAAUAUUUUAUGCAAGUUGAGGUGGGUACCAUUUUUGUGAGAGGUUUUAAUUCUUGCCAAAAUGUUUUCCCCAGCAAACUUUUUUUAAAAAUGAUAGAGAGUAAGAGAGAGAGAAUUGUAACACCAUAAAGCUGUAGCAUUAUAUUAGUGAUAAUUAAGUUUUUUAAAAUAAUAAUAAUUAAUGGCCCCACCCACAGCAGCUAAGGCAUGCACACUAGUGUGUUGACAGAGCAUAAUGAGACGUAAGCACACAAAAAGUGCAAUACUUCCAAGAGUGUGGAAAGUCAAUUGCAAUCUGCUUCUAGCUUAUAAAAGAAGAUGCAGUUGUAAAUUCCAGGGAAUGGUUGCACUUGCUUCUUUGGUAGUUUAUUUCCUUUUUUUAAAAAAUGAUAUUUAUUGAAAUUUUUUUUAGAAUUACAAACGAAAACAAGGUAG